UACGUAGGGGGCAAGCGUUGUCCGGAAUCAUUGGGCGUAAAGAGCUCGUAGGCGGUCUGUUGCGUCCGCUGUGAAAACUCGGGGCUUAACCCCGAGCCUGCAGUGGAUACGGGCAGACUAGAGGUAGGUAGGGGAGAAUGGAAUUCCCGGUGUAGCGGUGAAAUGCGCAGAUAUCGGGAGGAACACCGGUGGCGAAGGCGGUUCUCUGGGCCUUACCUGACGCUGAGGAGCGAAAGCGUGGGGAGCGAACAGG
RNAcentral lists this ribosomal RNA (253 nucleotides) under uncultured bacterium. Its description in RNAcentral is "partial 16S ribosomal RNA". It matches the Rfam family "Bacterial small subunit ribosomal RNA", at positions 524 to 776 of the family's 1533-position model. The record is from RNAcentral.